RNAcentral lists this ribosomal RNA (448 nucleotides) under uncultured bacterium. RNAcentral describes it as "bacterial SSU rRNA". It matches the Rfam family "Bacterial small subunit ribosomal RNA", at positions 355 to 796 of the family's 1533-position model. The record is from RNAcentral.
UGGGGAAUAUUGGACAAUGGGGGAAACCCUGAUCCAGCGACGCCGCGUGUGUGAAGAAGGCCUGCGGGUUGUAAAGCACUUUUAGUGGGGAUGAAAAGUGCAGAGUUAACACCUCUGCAUCUUGACCUAACCCACAGAAAAAGCACCGGCUAACUCUGUGCCAGCAGCCGCGGUAAUACAGAGGGUGCGAGCGUUAAUCGGAAUUACUGGGCGUAAAGCGUGCGUAGACGGUAAUGUAAGUCGGGUGUGAAAGCCCCGGGCUCAACCUGGGAAUUGCAUUCGAGACUGCAUUGCUAGGGUGCGGAAGAGGGAAGCGGAAUUUCCGGUGUAGCGGUGAAAUGCGUAGAUAUCGGAAGGAACACCAGUGGCGAAAGCGGCUUCCUGGUCCGACACCGACGUUCAGGCACGAAAGCGUGGGGAGCAAACAGGAUUAGAUACCCCGUAGUCC